This 417-nucleotide ribosomal RNA is filed under the name Triticum aestivum (bread wheat). RNAcentral describes it as "partial small subunit ribosomal RNA". Lineage: Eukaryota; Viridiplantae; Streptophyta; Magnoliopsida; Poales; Poaceae. The record is from RNAcentral.
AUGGCGGGGGCAGCGGCUGCCAUAUGCAGAGACAAGCAUGGCAACUACUUGGGGGCAUCAGCAGUUACUUUUGAUGGCCUAGUGGAUGCGGAAAGUCUUGAAGCCCAUGCGUGCAGCGAGGCACUAGCACUGGCGAGGGAUCUCCAUAUCUCACAUGCGAUAAUAGCAUCUGACUGCAUGCAGAUGGUGUCCGACAUCAAUGGAAGAUCGUUUUCAUCUUAUGCACUAGUCAUAGAUGAAGUGAAGGAAUCAAUGAAUGAUUUUGUUAAAGUUAGUUUUGGAUAUGAGUGUAGGGAAGCAAACUUUGAAGCUCACGCCAUUGCAAAGGCGGCUUCAGCUUUCCCUCCCGGUCGCCGGUUGUGGAUAGGGAUUCUCCCAGACAUUGCUUGUAUUGCUUCGGCUUUGAACGUUGAAUAA